Molecule: non-coding RNA, 2613 nt
Organism: Coturnix japonica (Japanese quail)
Lineage: Eukaryota; Metazoa; Chordata; Aves; Galliformes; Phasianidae
Source: RefSeq, a predicted model, not a curated record
ACUGCCACUGGAGAAGGAUUUUUUUCUGGAGAUGGAUUUUUUUCUGGAGAUUCCUUCUCUUGGAGUUUUUCUUGCAAGCCUAUGGCACUGAGAGAAAUCCAGAAGUAUUUCUUAUGCAGUUAUUGUCUCUGAUUCAUCAGCUCCUCCGGUUUAUCAGGAAGCACAAAGCUUGUUUUUUUCCAAGCCAAAACCUAGGCCUUCUCCUGUGAAGUUAAAGGACGUUGUUUCUACCAACCUGUGGAGAAAAUGAGGCUGGCAUUAAUUAAAAUAUUCAAAACACAUCAGUGAUGAAAAUUGCAGAAAUUAUCUGAUUCAUUUUCACCAAAUGUUCCCUGUGUGUCUCAUGACUACUGAUGAAGUUUGGAGCAAGCAAACUCUUAACUCAGGUUACCUCUGUACGUGUCAGUCUCUGCCAGCCAAGAGUGCCACGCAUUAUCACUGAAAGAGGCUGUGUAUGAGGAUAUAUGGGACUAGAAGUUGUAUGUAACGUAAUGACAGAACUACAUAUCUGAAAUCUGAAUUUAAUGAGACAUCCUUCUCUAGCUGACAAUCCAGAUUCCUUGUUUGAAUUUGUUACUAAGUUCAGUUAUAUUUCUGUGAUCAGAAUCUACCUCAUCCCAGAUGAGAAGCAUCACAAUCCCAAAUAUAUUUUUGGUGCAAGGACAGCAUUUAAAGGAAGCACAAACAGAACAACCGUGGAACAGCCCUGAUUUUUCUUCUAUUUUUCUGAAGCACAAUGCCAGUAAUUAUGAAGGAAGCUGCUUACUAGCUUCAGCAAGGAUGGCAGAAUCAGACUUAUUCCUCUAGCUUCACUUUGCAGGCAAGCUGCAAAAAUAAACUUGGACACUAGAAAAGUCAGUACCAUUAAAAUGCCUGUGAGGGUUUAAACAGUUUGUUGGUGUUGGAUGGAGCCAGUUUUGAAUAAUGUCUCAGUAAGUCAGGCCUGCUUCUUCUGUUCUUUGAAAAAGGGAAGGGGCAAGCCAUAGAAACUAAAACCAAUGGAACAUAUAGGUAAUAUGAGUGACCUGUGUAAUGUAUGAGAAGGCAGUAAGUUUGCUCAGGCUUCUUUCAUUCUGUCAUUUCCACCUUUGACCUUGUAGCAUACCUUUUGCUGUUAGUAUGUGUAGCAUACAAAUGCAAACUGAAGCAGUGCAUCAAAGCAUUUACUAGCUCUGGGAAGUGCUUCAUCUCAUGCUGUAUCAACAGUUUGCUACUCAGUCUUUUCAAGAUCUGUCACAUGUCUUUGUACUGCUGUCUCUUUAGGAGGGCUAAGUGUGGGGAAGGGAAAGCAGUCACUGUGCCUCUAUUACCUCUCUGCACAGAUCUGGUUGCAGUGAAGACCUUAGCAAAUGUCCUUUAAAGAACUCUGCUGAUGUGGCUGAAGACAUAGUCAUGGCUGUCCUUGUGCCUUGCCCUUCUUUUGUGACACACCUGAUCCCCCACAAGCAGUUAGCAGUGAACAGUUUAGCCUUUGGAAGUGACUUUGAAAGUUUGGGCUGUGCCUUGGCACAGUUAAGACACAGGCAUAUGUUGUUCCUGCCUCUCCUGUAGGAUCCGUAACCCCAAGAAAAAAGAAGGGGCAGCCAGGAGACUAAUAAUACCUGAAAAUGCCCCUGCAAGAUUUGCUGGAGUCUGACUGGUAAGAAGUCCCUUGACUAUCUUGGUAUACAGUUGAAAGACCACGGACUCCUGUAGCAUAAGUCAGUACCCAGUGCUGUGGAAAUCCAUGAAUCUAUGCCAGGUUUACAUCAACUGACUCACUCCAAAAUUGUUCAUAGUUCAUGCCCCGGUAAAUAUUUACACAGCAGAAGGCAAGGUUCCCUAUACUCUGCACUGACCAGAUGCAUGGCAGGAUGGGUGCAUAUUUCCCUCUAUGGAGCUGCAGGUCCAUCUCCGUGUGCCCUCGCAUUACCUCCAAGCAGAGCACCCACAACCUUCCCAGUGUAAUUUGUAGUCCCUCAGUGGGCUGAAUGCAACAUUAGGGGAAUUCAGCUCUUGCCUAAUUAAGAUGACGCAAUCAACUGGUCCACAAACAUUUAAGGAUCUUCUUAAUAACUCUAUUGUUAUCAGCUUGAGUGCCAGACACUGUAGCAUGAAGCGAUCGUUAGUGCUGAUACUUGGAGUCAGGGAAGAUUUACUGUGUUUUCUUCCCUUGUGAGUACUUGUUCUGUUAACCUGCUCCCUCUGCCAUUAGUGUGCCAGCUCCCCUUUGCUGCUAACAUCCAGUGUAAAGUAAUUGGCUCUAAAUUACUUUAAAAGUAUGGAUGGCCAUGCUUCCAAAAAUACACUCUAAACAGGUAAUAUGUUUGCUUUCAUUUCAUAAUUCAUACAUGUCUUUUAGAUUCUGAAAAACAUAUAUAAUAAUGCUUAUAAAAUUAAAUAACUUCUGUUACCCAAGCCUAUCAAUGGUUGCCUUCAUUUAGCUGUGGAGUAUUAUUAGUGAUAUUUUAGCAGGUCCUACAAAGUCUCAUUGUGCUUCACAUCUUUCAGAGUUAUGGAAAAGAAUACUGUUGAUGUCCUAUGCAUCAACCCAGAUGGCUGGUCCUUCCUCCCUUCACUUCCUGUAGUGUAGUAAGAGCAACAGUCUGGAGCAAGUUGCUCUUGUUUGUGUAA